RNAcentral lists this ribosomal RNA (477 nucleotides) under uncultured bacterium. RNAcentral describes it as "bacterial SSU rRNA". It matches the Rfam family "Bacterial small subunit ribosomal RNA", at positions 28 to 507 of the family's 1533-position model. The record is from RNAcentral.
GAUGAACGCUAGCGGCAGGCUUAACACAUGCAAGUCGAGGGGCAGCGAGAGAUGUGCUUGCACAUUUUGUCGGCGACCGGGCGCACGGGUGCGUAACGCGUAUGCAACCUACCCAUAACGAGGGGGAUAACACUGAGAAAUUGGUACUAAUACCCCGUAAUAUUAUUUGAGGCAUCUUAGAUAGUUGAAAGUUCCGGCGGUUAUGGAUGGGCAUGCGUUGUAUUAGCUAGAUGGCGGGGUAACGGCCCACCAUGGCGACGAUCAGUAGCCGGUCUGAGAGGAUGAACGGCCACAUUGGGACUGAGAUACCGGCCCAGACUCCUACGGGGAGGCAGCAGGUGGGGAAUAUUGGGCAAUGGGGGAAACCCUGACCCAGCAACGCCGCGUGAAGGAAGAAGGCCUUCGGGUUGUAAACUUCUUUUAGCAGGGACGAAGAACGUGACGGUACCUGCAGAAAAAGCAACGGCUAACUACGUG